RNAcentral lists this ribosomal RNA (253 nucleotides) under uncultured bacterium. RNAcentral's name for it is "partial 16S ribosomal RNA". It matches the Rfam family "Bacterial small subunit ribosomal RNA", at positions 524 to 776 of the family's 1533-position model. The record is from RNAcentral.
UACAGAGGUCCCAAGCGUUGUUCGGAUUUACUGGGCGUAAAGGGCGCGCAGGCGGCUAUCCAAGUCAGGCGUGAAAGCCCCGGGCUUAACCUGGGAGGUGCGUCUGGGACUGGGUGGCUAGAGUUCGGGAGAGGAGAGUGGAAUUCCCAGUGUAGAGGUGAAAUUCGUAGAUAUUGGGAAGAACACCGGUGGCGAAGGCGGCUCUCUGGACCGUAACUGACGCUGAGGAGCGAAAGCGUGGGGAGCGAACAGG